This 254-nucleotide ribosomal RNA is filed under the name uncultured bacterium. Its description in RNAcentral is "partial 16S ribosomal RNA". It matches the Rfam family "Bacterial small subunit ribosomal RNA", at positions 524 to 776 of the family's 1533-position model. The record is from RNAcentral.
UACGGAGGGUCCAAGCGUUAUCCGGAAUUACUGGGCGUAAAGAGUUGCGUAGGUGGCAUUGUAAGUAGAUAGUGAAAGCGUGGGGCUCAACCUCAUAUCCAUUAUCUAAACUGCAAAGCUAGAGGGCGAGAGAGGUAACUAGAAUUCCUUGUGUAGGAGUGAAAUCCGUAGAUAUAAGGAGGAAUACCGAUGGCGUAGGCAGGUUACUGGCUCGUCCCUGACACUAAGGCACGAAAGCGUGGGGAGCAAACGGG